AUCUGUUCUUAUCAGUUUAAUAUCUGAUAACGUCCGCUACCCGGGGACUGCAUAUUAAAUGGAUUUUUGGAUCACGGAGCCAGGGCUUGCUCCGUCCACUCCAAGCAUCGGCCUGGUAUUGCAGUGUCUCCAGGAACGGUGU
RNAcentral lists this small nuclear RNA (142 nucleotides) under Sinocyclocheilus anshuiensis. Its description in RNAcentral is "U2 spliceosomal RNA (ENSSANG00000045735.1)". It matches the Rfam family "U2 spliceosomal RNA", at positions 38 to 185 of the family's 192-position model. From Rfam's summary of the family: U2 is a small nuclear RNA (snRNA) component of the spliceosome (involved in pre-mRNA splicing). Complementary binding between U2 snRNA (in an area lying towards the 5' end but 3' to hairpin I) and the branchpoint sequence (BPS) of the intron results the bulging out of an unpaired adenosine, on the BPS, which initiates a nucleophilic attack at the intronic 5' splice site, thus starting the first of two transesterification reactions that mediate splicing. Lineage: Eukaryota; Metazoa; Chordata; Actinopteri; Cypriniformes; Cyprinidae. The record is from RNAcentral.